Molecule: ribosomal RNA, 466 nt
Filed under: uncultured bacterium
Lineage: Bacteria
Description: partial 16S ribosomal RNA
Rfam family: Bacterial small subunit ribosomal RNA
Source: RNAcentral
CUACGGGACGCAGCAGUGGGGAAUAUUGGACAAUGGGGGAAACCCUGAUCCAGCAAUGCCGCGUGUGUGAAGAAGGCCUGCGGGUUGUAAAGCACUUUCGGUUGGGAGGACUGCUUCUAGCACUAAUAUUGUUGGAAGUUGACGUUACCUUCAGAAGAAGCACCGGCUAACUCCGUGCCAGCAGCCGCGCGUAAUACGGAGGGUGCAAGCGUUAAUCGGAAUUACUGGGCGUAAAGCGCGCGUAGGCGGCUAGAUCAGUCGGGUGUGAAAGCCCCGGGCUUAACCUGGGAACGGCAUCCGAUACUGUCUAGCUUGAGUACAGGAGAGGAGAGUGGAAUUCCACAUGUAGCGGUGAAAUGCGUAGAUAUGUGGAGGAACACCAAUGGCGAAGGCAGCUCUCUGGCCUGAUACUGACGCUGAGGUGCGAAAGCGUGGGGAGCAAACAGGAUUAGAUACCCCUGUAGUC